RNAcentral lists this ribosomal RNA (499 nucleotides) under uncultured bacterium. RNAcentral's name for it is "partial 16S ribosomal RNA". It matches the Rfam family "Bacterial small subunit ribosomal RNA", at positions 28 to 507 of the family's 1533-position model. The record is from RNAcentral.
GACGAACGCUGGCGGCGUGCCUAAUACAUGCAAGUCGAGCGAAGAUUUUCUGGUGCGUGCACGAGCAAAAGUUAGCGGCGAACGGGUGAGUAACACGUAAAGAGCCUUCCUCAUAGACUGGGACAACUGUUGGUAACGAUAGCUAAUACCGGAUAACAGUAUUUCUCGCAUGAGAGAUAUGUAAAAGUUGGUUAUGAUAACACUAUGAGAUGGCUUUGCGGUGCAUUAGCUAGUUGGUGGGAUAAAGGCCAACCAAGGCGACGAUGCAUAGCCGACCUGCGAGGGUGAACGGCCACACUGGGACUGAGACACGGCACAGAGUCAUAGAGGAGGCACCGGUAGCGAAUCUUCCGAAAUGGGCGAAAGCCUGACGGAGCAACGCCGCGUGAGUGAAGAAGGAUUUCGGUUCGUAAAGCUCUGUUGUUAGGGAAGAAUGGAUAUGUAGUAACCAUAGAUGUAAGAGACGGUACCUAACCAGAAAGCCACGGCUAACUACGUG